This 242-nucleotide small RNA is filed under the name Pongo abelii (Sumatran orangutan). RNAcentral describes it as "processed transcript". Lineage: Eukaryota; Metazoa; Chordata; Mammalia; Primates; Hominidae. The record is from RNAcentral.
CCGGAGCAGGGCCCCAAGCCCCGGGCCUGGUGGGGGACGCGCUUCUUCCCACACCCUGAGCCUCAGCAGCUCCAGCCAGCGGACCCGACGGCUGAGAGUGUCCUAACCACUUUGGAGAGCGAUAACUUGAGUUAAAGCACCUGUCUGUGCCUGGCCUCCAGCAGAUCUUGGUCCAGUGAGAAGAUGGGGAGCCCCGAGGAUGAUCUGAUUGGGAUUCCAUUCCCGGACCACAGCAGUGAGCU